RNAcentral lists this non-coding RNA (30 nucleotides) under Homo sapiens (human). Lineage: Eukaryota; Metazoa; Chordata; Mammalia; Primates; Hominidae. The record is from RNAcentral.
AGGACACUUUUCCUGGAAAGCCCCUGGAGC